Long non-coding RNA from Oncorhynchus tshawytscha (Chinook salmon), 2732 nucleotides. Lineage: Eukaryota; Metazoa; Chordata; Actinopteri; Salmoniformes; Salmonidae. The record is from Ensembl.
CCGUCAAACUCAGGGUUUAUUGUAAAACACACGGUAAUGGGGGGGGAGCAGGAAAAGGGGCUGAGCUGGACCCAAGGAAAGAAACAAGUAUUCAAAAGCACCCCUAAGCUAGACUAGCCUACUUUAACAACAGCUAACUAACCAAAGAUACAGUGGGUGGUCCGCCCAGUUCUAACUAGUGUAUUUAACAAAGUUUACCUACGGGUAGUGUAUGCUCAUGGGCGACUUGUCUUGGUUUCCCCUUUUCCCACCAGCAAACAAACAAACACCAUAACCAAAAACAAUACUCACAGGAGAUGACAAAGUGAUUUGGAGGUGCUCAAACAAAAGAGAGGUUAAGACACAAAGAGAGAGUGAAACACAGAGACCUACAGACAUGGCAUUUACAGAGAGAUUGAGCUCUAGAGCAAACAACUGACAGGGUUUUUAAACCAGGGGGAAGGAACUGUGAUAGGGUAGGAAACAGGAGGAGGUGUGUUUUCUGAUUGAUGAUUGAUUGUUGACUGAUUGGGGAGUGAUGAUUUUCACCUGUGAGGGGAGAAGGAGAGAAAAGAACACAGGAUACACACACACACAGGAUACCUGUAUCCGUAACAGUGAGUAUAACAGAAAUGAUGUUGCAGGCAAAAGCCUGAGAAGAAUCCAAUCCGGAAGUGCCUCAUCUAUUGAAAGCGCUGUGUUCCAAUGCGUCCCUAUUGAGCAGUGAAUGGGCUGUCAACCAGGUUACUUUUUCUCCGUAUUCUACAGCAUUGUGACGUAGUUUUACGCAUUUCUGUUGAAGAAUAGCGGUAGGCGGCUACAUUGCGCAAGUGGUCACCUGAUGCUGCCAGAGAGAUUCUCACGUAAAAUACAGAGGUAGCCAUUACUCCAAUCGGUCCUACUGAAAAACGAAUUGUCCCGAUGGAUAUAUUAUCGAAUAGAUAUUUGAAAAACACAUUGAAGUUUGAUUAUAAACAACGUUUGCCAAGUUUCUGUCGAUAUUAUGGAGCUAAUUUGGAAUAUUUUUUGCCAUUUUCGUGACUGCAAUUUCCGGGCGAUUUCUCAGCCAAACGUGAAGAACAAACGGAGCUAUUUCGCCAACAAAAAUAAUCUUUUUGGAAAAAAGGAACAUUUGCUAGCUAACUGGGAGUCUCGUGAGUGAAAACAUCCGAAGCUCAUCAAAGUUCAAAUAUUUAAUUUGAUUGCUUUUCUGAUUACCGUGACCAAGUUACCUGCUGCUAGCUGGACAAAAUGCUGUGCUAGGCUAUCGAUAAACUUACACAAAUGCUUGUCUAGCUUUGGCUGUAAAGCAUAUUUUGAAAAUUGAGAUGACAGGGUGAUUAACAAAAGGCUAAGCUGUGUCUCAAUAUAUUUCAUUUGUGAUUUUCAUGAAUAGGAAUAUUUUCUAGGGAUAUUUAUGUCUGUUGCGUUAUGCUAAUUAGUGUCAGGCGAUGAUUACGCUCCCGCAUGCGGGAUGGGGAGUCAGUAGAGGUGUUACAGGUUGUCGGUCAACCUACCAGGGUAUUUUGAAGAACAAAUAUUUACUGGUCUGUUAUGUGUAAUGAGAAGCUUAAUGAUGGUAAAAAGCGAGUGUGGAAGAGGUGAAGAAUGUAUUGUUGUCUAUCAACAAUGACAAGCCACCGGGGUCUGACAACUUGAAUAGCUAGAUACUGAGGAGAGCCAAGAUGGAGGCUCGGUGGCUUCAACACAAUGGUGGGGGAGAGCCAAGAUGGAGGCUCGGUGGCUUCAACACAAUGGUGGGGGAGAGCCAAGAUGGAGGCUCGGUGGCUUCAACACAACGGUGGGGGAGAGCCAAGAUGGAGGCUCAGUUGCUUCAACACAAUGGUGGGGGAGAGCCAAAAUGGAGGCUCGGUGGCUUCACCGUCAUCUAGUGGAAAUAUAAAUUGGUGGCAAAAAAUAAAUAAAUCUACAUUCUUGUGUAUUUUCUAAAUUAACACCUAAUAUAUAUUAUCCAUGUUUCAAAAUGGCAGGUAGACUACACCUCAAUAGCUGCAGAAUGUAUUCUCAACUACAACUAAAUGAUCCAACUUUUACAUGAAAAACGCCACAUUAGCAUUGAUAUGAAAUCAUUCAAAAUACCUCAAAACAAUACAUGGUAUUAAAAACAAGAUGAAAUGAGCUGAAACGAGACAUUUACAAUUCCCACCAUUACAGUUUCUUAUCAUUCUUGCCAUCUAGGAUCACAACAACAACAUGCUGAAACCUGCCUGGUGGAAACCUACACAUCAUUUUCAUGACGUUGUCAGCUAACACGUUUAUUUAAACUCUCGUCAUUCUGCCCUGUCCAUUUCGCCAAACAUGUGCUGCGUUCACGUGCUAGUCAGAACUUGGAAACUCAGAAAUGUUUGACUUGCUAACUGCUUCAACUAUAACCAGUUAGCAAGUUGGAAAUGUCAGUGUUUCCUAGUUCCUACUUGUACAUGAACUUGGCAUUGGGCCACAGACCUGGGUGCUGGUCCAUGUCAGGAAUGAUUGGAUCCUGGGUAAAGUCUUAAACAAUGGAUGUUGUAAUUCAUUGUUCUGUUUUGUUUACAUAUUUAUCAUAUCGUCCUUUAUUUACAACUGCGACCUGGCCAAGAUAAAACACAGCAGUUCGACACGCAAAUCAAAUCAAAUGUAUUUAUAAAGCCCUUCUUACAUCAGCUGAUAUCUCAAAGUGCUGUACAGAAACCCAGCCUAAAACCGCAAACAGCAUGUAAUGCAGGUGUAGAAGCACGGUGGCUAUGAAAAAC